GUGGGGAAUAUUGGACAAUGGGCGCAAGCCUGAUCCAGCAAUGCCGCGUGCAGGAAGAAGGCCUUCGGGUUGUAAACUGCUUUUGUACGGAACGAAACGGUCCUGGUUAAUACCUGGGGCUAAUGACGGUACCGUAAGAAUAAGCACCGGCUAACUACGUGCCAGCAGCCGCGGUAAUACGUAGGGUGCGAGCGUUAAUCGGAAUUACUGGGCGUAAAGCGUGCGCAGGCGGUGCUGUAAGACAGGCGUGAAAUCCCCGGGCUCAACCUGGGAAUUGCGCUUGUGACUGCAGUGCUGGAGUACGGCAGAGGGGGAUGGAAUUCCGCGUGUAGCAGUGAAAUGCGUAGAUAUGCGGAGGAACACCGAUGGCGAAGGCAGUCCCCUGGGCCUGUACUGACGCUCAUGCACGAAAGCGUGGGGAGCAAACAGGAUUAGAAACCCCGGUAGUCC
RNAcentral lists this ribosomal RNA (450 nucleotides) under uncultured bacterium. RNAcentral's name for it is "partial 16S ribosomal RNA". It matches the Rfam family "Bacterial small subunit ribosomal RNA", at positions 354 to 796 of the family's 1533-position model. The record is from RNAcentral.